This is a long non-coding RNA of Bos indicus x Bos taurus (hybrid cattle), 455 nucleotides long. The record is from Ensembl. Lineage: Eukaryota; Metazoa; Chordata; Mammalia; Artiodactyla; Bovidae.
CAGAGAACAUCUGGGGUGCUGAGAACAGGGCUGCUUCUCACUUGCAUCAGGGUGCGGCUCAGGUGGAUUCUUUACCACUGAGCCACCAGGAAAGCCCCUUGUUGACAAGAGAAGGGAGUGGGAAACCGAGGCCCUGGGAGCCAAGGUGCUUGAACACACAUCCUUGAUAGAGAACAGCGGAGUCCUGAGCAUCACGUGGACCAUCUGAGUGUGAAGGAAGCAGCGUGCCUUUGUCCCUUGAUUCCUAGACCAGCUGGAGCUGUUCAGCGCACCAUCCACGACUGCAGCUGCCAUCUGCUUUCCCCCCGAUGACCUGCGGAGAUAGCACCAGCAGUGCUGGGGGCUGGGAACACUGAGCAGCCUGGCCCAGUUCUUGGUGGCCGGGCCUGCUGAGCCCCUGCUUGUUGUGGGGGGGCAGUGGCUGCCCCCCUGCAGUGUCAGAGCUUGGUUUCUCC